This 388-nucleotide ribosomal RNA is filed under the name uncultured bacterium. RNAcentral's name for it is "bacterial SSU rRNA". It matches the Rfam family "Bacterial small subunit ribosomal RNA", at positions 28 to 417 of the family's 1533-position model. The record is from RNAcentral.
GACGAACGCUGGCGGCGUGCUUAACACAUGCAAGUCGAGCGGUAAGGCCCUUUCGGGGGUACACGAGCGGCGAACGGGUGAGUAACACGUGGGUGACCUGCCCUCAGCUCUGGGAUAAGCCUGGGAAACUGGGUCUAAUGCCGGAUAUGACUCCAUGACGCAUGUUGUGGGGUGGAAAGCCUUGUGCGGCUGGGGAUGGGCCCGCGGCCUAUCAGCUUGUUGGUGGGGUGANGGCCUACCAAGGCGACGACGGGUAGCCGGCCUGAGAGGGCGACCGGCCACACUGGGACUGAGACACGGCCCAGACUCCUACGGGAGGCAGCAGUGGGGAAUCUUGCGCAAUGGGCGAAAGCCUGACGCAGCGACGCCGCGUGAGGGAUGACGGCCU